This 253-nucleotide ribosomal RNA is filed under the name uncultured bacterium. RNAcentral's name for it is "partial 16S ribosomal RNA". It matches the Rfam family "Bacterial small subunit ribosomal RNA", at positions 524 to 776 of the family's 1533-position model. The record is from RNAcentral.
UACAGAGGGUGCAAGCGUUAAUCGGAAUUACUGGGCGUAAAGCGUGCGUAGACGGUUAUGUAAGUCAGAUGUGAAAGCCCCGGGCUCAACCUGGGAAUUGCAUUUGAGACUGCAUAGCUAGGGUGCGGAAGAGGGAAGCGGAAUUUCCGGUGUAGCGGUGAAAUGCGUAGAUAUGACAUAGAACACCAAUUGCGAAGGCAGCUGGCUACACGAAUAUUGACACUGAUGCACGAAAGCGUGGGGAUCAAACAGG